UGGGGAAUAUUGGACAAUGGGCGCAAGCCUGAUCCAGCAAUGCCGCGUGGGUGAAGAAGGCCCUCGGGUUGUAAAGCCCUUUUGUACGGGAAGAAAUCCUGUCGGUUAAUACCCGGCGUGGAUGACGGUACCGUAAGAAGAAGCACCGGCGAACUACGUGCCAGCAGCCGCGGUAAUACGUAGGGUGCGAGCGUUAAUCGGAAUUACUGGGCGUAAAGUGUGCGCAGGCGGCCUCGCAAGUCGAGUGUGAAAUCCCCGGGCUUAACUUGGGAAUUGCGCUCGAAACUACGGGGCUGGAGUGUGGCAGAGGGGGGUGGAAUUCCACGUGUAGCGGAGAAAUGCGUAGAGAUGUGGAGGAACACCAAUGGCGAAGGCAGCCCCCUGGGCCAACACUGACGCUCAUGCACGAAAGCGUGGGGAGCAAA
This 425-nucleotide ribosomal RNA is filed under the name uncultured bacterium. RNAcentral describes it as "bacterial SSU rRNA". It matches the Rfam family "Bacterial small subunit ribosomal RNA", at positions 355 to 772 of the family's 1533-position model. The record is from RNAcentral.